Molecule: ribosomal RNA, 1662 nt
Filed under: Triticum aestivum (bread wheat)
Lineage: Eukaryota; Viridiplantae; Streptophyta; Magnoliopsida; Poales; Poaceae
Description: partial small subunit ribosomal RNA
Source: RNAcentral
AUGUGCGCCAUCGACGACAACUCCAUGCUCGCCUCACCUCCAUGCUCGCAGAACCACCAGCAGGUGUCUACAGUUGUAUCUGCUUCCUUCUGUGUACUAGAUUUCCCUUGCUUUUCGUCAGUUACAUCAUUCUACCUGCUAGUCUCCUUUUCGUCAGUUAUAGCACUCUACCUGCUAAUCUCCCCUCGUUGUUCGACAGCCUCUCCCUUGUACUCCAUCUUAAUCCAGUCCCCCCCUGUGUGUCAUGGUGUAUCAAUGAGUGAGCACAACUGUACCAUCCUCAAUUGGAACGUCCGAGGCCUCAACAACCCCGCUCGUCGCCAAGUUGUCUGUAAUCUUGUUGCUCAAACUCGCUCCUCUGUUGUGUGCCUACAAGAGACUAAGCUCGCUCACAUCGACCGCUCGAUUGUGCUCGAACUCCUUGGGAAUGGCUUUGCUGACUCAUUCUGCUUCCUCCCGGCUGAUGGCACCAGAGGAGAGAUCCUCUUGGCUUUCUCCUCCGACCUUUUUGUCAUCACGAGCUCUAAUGCCACAACUCAUACAAUCUCUUCUUCCAUCUCCAUGCGUGCUUCGGCUGCCUCCUGGAGCAUCUCCGUGGUUUAUGGCCCCCAAACAGACAAUGACAAGUUCAACUUCAUCUCCGAGCUACGCUCUCUGAAAGCAACCAUGCUGUCCUCUUGGGUUCUCCUGGGAGACUUCAAUCUUCUAUGUCGUGCUGAUGACAAAAGCAAUGGUGCCAUAAACAGGCGUCUCAUUAACAGUUUCCGAUCAGCUCUGAACUUCCUUGAGCUCGACGAGCUGCGACUUCAUGGUCGCCGCUACACUUGGGCUAGCUCCUGCCCGCAGCAGACUAAAACCAAGAUCGGCCAUUUCUUCUGCUCUAUUGAUUGGAAUCUCCUUUUUCCCCAAUGCCACAUGCGUGCCACCUCCUCCUCUAUAUCUGACCAUUGUGUUAUGCUCCUCACUGGUCAAGUUAACCACAGGAAGUUCUCCGGGUUCCGUUUUGAGAACUACUGGCUUAAAAUUCGAGGAUUCGGGGCCGCUGUUUCUGAAUCGUGGCAGGCGCCGGUCACUCACGGCGACUCCAUGUGCAGAUUGCGCUGCAAGUUAUCCCGCCUCGCCAAAUCCCUUCGGCUUUGGAGCCGCCGGCGCGUGGGCAACAUCACCCUACUGUCCACGAUUGCUGAUCUGGUCAUUCUGGGCCUCGACUCUGCUCAGGACGGCCGCGAUCUGUCCAUCGUGGAGAUGGGUCUCCGGCUGCACCUCAGGCACAAGAUCCUCGGUCUGGCUGCCAUCCAGCGGGUGCGUAUCCGCCAAUGCUCUCGCAUCCUCUACCUGCGUGCCAAUGAGGCCGAUUCCAAGCUCUUCCACAUCAAGGCUAACGAACGAAGAAGACGGAAUUUCAUCCCAGUUCUGGACAAUGGUGAGGCCCAGCUCACCCUGCAGGCUGACAAGCAAAAGGUGCUUUUUGACCACUUCAGAAGCAUGAUCGACACCCCAACCCCCAGGGAGUGUUUGAUCAAUUGGGAAUUCCUCGAUAUGCCAAGGCACGAUCUUUCUGCUUUGGAGAUGGACUUCACCGAGGAGGAAAUCAAGGCAGCCGUUUUUGAUUUGCCAUCUGGGAAAGCUCCAGGACCGGAUGGAUUUACCGCUGAUUUCUAA